RNAcentral lists this ribosomal RNA (71 nucleotides) under Sympetrum danae (black darter). RNAcentral describes it as "partial 5.8S ribosomal RNA". It matches the Rfam family "5.8S ribosomal RNA", at positions 10 to 80 of the family's 154-position model. From Rfam's summary of the family: 5.8S ribosomal RNA (5.8S rRNA) is a component of the large subunit of the eukaryotic ribosome. It is transcribed by RNA polymerase I as part of the 45S precursor that also contains 18S and 28S rRNA. The record is from RNAcentral. Lineage: Eukaryota; Metazoa; Arthropoda; Insecta; Odonata; Libellulidae.
CGGUGGAUCACUCGGCUCGUGGAUCGAUGAAGAACGCAGCAAACUGCGCGUCAAAGUGUGAACUGCAGGAC